This is a long non-coding RNA of Rosa chinensis, 773 nucleotides long. RefSeq lists it as uncharacterized. The record is from RefSeq and is a predicted model, not a curated record. The transcript has 5 exons. NCBI's taxonomy places the organism in Eukaryota, Viridiplantae, Streptophyta, Magnoliopsida, Rosales, Rosaceae.
UACUAUGGUAAUUAUCUAAGCACUUGAUUAUUAUCUCUCACCAUUGAAAUUAUGGAAAACUUUUAGAUUCUGCAGCUCUCAAGCAGAGUUCUGUGACAUUCUUCAUGUUGAGAAGCCGGAAACUGCCUCUUUGUGGUGGGCAAGGGCUAGGACUAGGCUGCGAAGAUUGGAAAAGGUUUGUCUAAGGAUGAGAAAGCACAAAAGUUAGCUCUUCAACAUUGGCUUGAAGCUGUAAGUUCACACUUCAUAAUCCCGAAAGAGAAUAAGGCUAGAUAUUUCUCUUGAAAACUUAUAUUCCUUGCAAUGUAAAAUAUGCAUGGUCUAAUAUUAAGCCGUUUACUUAAUAUUAGCACAACUUUUUUGUUUUCUGGAAUAGAGGCUGUAUUUGUUUUACGUACGUUGUUUGUUUCUUUGUUUUGUGUGUUUUGCUGGUUGUUUGUUAAAAAAUUGUUGGGCUACUGUCAUGUAUGCUAGGGACACUUAACCACAGCUUUGUACUGUUAUAAGUUCCUUAACCGAAUCAAAUGAGAGACAGAUGGUGGGGCACUUUAAAGCACCAAAAAAAUUGAUCCAAUUAAGGACAGCCUCUAUAAGAUCUCAAGCACAGCCUCUAUAAAAUGAGAGACAGAUUAAAGUCAUUGACUGGAAAAGUCAAAGGACAAGCCAUUUCUAUGGAGAGCUCUAAGAGGAGUUUCCACAGUAAUAUGUCCAAAUGAUGGUUUCUUAUCUACUGUUGGGACCUUGAAAUGGGUAGACCAUGUCAUUCUCUUAUC